AUAAAAGGAGCCUUGGUUCCCUGCAAACCUCCCACAAGCCCCUCAUAGAGAAAGCAAACAACAAGAGCAGCAACCAUGCCAAGAGUCAAAACCUUCCUCAUCUUUCUCUUGCUGAUCCUUCUCCUUGAGUCUUCUUCUUGCCAAGCUGGAAGAACUCAAACUGGGAAGGAACCUGCAUACCUGGUGGCCAAGAUGAACAGCAGAAAGGCAUUACUGGAGACUACAUUAGAUUAUGAUUAUGGAGGAGCUAACCCUAAGCAUGACCCCAAGAAAGGAAAGCCAGGGAUUGGAGGCAAACCCUAGCUUAAAGCCUCUUCUGUCCCACUGGAUUAGUCUCAUCUUUACUGUUUCUUUCUCUGCACAUCAACCUGCAGCAUCAAAAACACAUAUAGAUAUUUAUGUUCUACAUGUUGUCAAAUUUUUCAACUGUAUGGCAAUACUGAGAUGCCGAUGUUCAUGUGGUUCUUGUUGAGGCAGGAGCUCCCUACUCGAUCUUCUUGUGCCGCUGAACAAUACAUGUACUGGUUUGAAUCAGAGUGUAGCCUUUGAAUCAGUAAAAUGAGAGUGAAUUUGUACUACUAGUCUCUUGUUUCAUGUAAUAAUCCGUAAGGAAGCAAGUCAAUGAUCUUAUAUGUGUGUUAUCAUUUCA
Molecule: long non-coding RNA, 649 nt
Organism: Musa acuminata AAA Group (dessert banana)
Lineage: Eukaryota; Viridiplantae; Streptophyta; Magnoliopsida; Zingiberales; Musaceae
Exons: 3
Source: RefSeq, a predicted model, not a curated record